GACGAACGCUGGCGGCGUGCUUAACACAUGCAAGUCGAACGGAAAGGCCCUGCUUUUGUGGGGUGCUCGAGUGGCGAACGGGUGAGUAACACGUGAGUAACCUGCCCUUGACUUUGGGAUAACUUCAGGAAACUGGGGCUAAUACCGGAUAGGAGCUCCUGCUGCAUGGUGGGGGUUGGAAAGUUUCGGCGGUUGGGGAUGGACUCGCGGCUUAUCAGCUUGUUGGUGGGGUAGUGGCUUACCAAGGCUUUGACGGGUAGCCGGCCUGAGAGGGUGACCGGCCACAUUGGGACUGAGAUACGGCCCAGACUCCUACGGGAGGCAGCAGUGGGGAAUAUUGUACAAUGGGCGGAAGCCUGAUGCAGCAACGCCGCGUGCGGGAUGACGGCCUUCGGGUUGUAAACCGCUUUCGCCUGUGACGAAGCGUGAGUGACGGUAAUGGGUAAAGAAGCACCGGCUAACUACGCG
This 468-nucleotide ribosomal RNA is filed under the name uncultured bacterium. RNAcentral's name for it is "partial 16S ribosomal RNA". It matches the Rfam family "Bacterial small subunit ribosomal RNA", at positions 28 to 507 of the family's 1533-position model. The record is from RNAcentral.